AUUGAACGCUGGCGGCAUGCUUUACACAUGCAAGUCGAACGGUAGACCCUUUCGGGGGUUGAGAGUGGCGAACGGGUGAGUAAUGCAUCGGAACGUGCCUAGUCGUGGGGGAUAACGUAGCGAAAGUUACGCUAAUACCGCAUACGCACUGAGGUGGAAAGCGGGGGACCGUAAGGCCUCGCGCGAUUGGAGCGGCCGAUGUCGGAUUAGCUAGUUGGUGAGGUAAAGGCUCACCAAGGCGACGAUCCGUAGCGGGUCUGAGAGGAUGAUCCGCCACACUGGGACUGAGACACGGCCCAGACUCCUACGGGAGGCAGCAGUGGGGAAUUUUGGACAAUGGGCGCAAGCCUGAUCCAGCCAUGUUGCGUGCGGGAAGAAGGCCUCGGUUGUAACCGCUUCGGUACGAGAAGAAAUACGACAUGGACGUAAUACUACUGUGUGGAGUGACGGUAC
This 453-nucleotide ribosomal RNA is filed under the name uncultured bacterium. Its description in RNAcentral is "bacterial SSU rRNA". It matches the Rfam family "Bacterial small subunit ribosomal RNA", at positions 30 to 478 of the family's 1533-position model. The record is from RNAcentral.